UUUUUUCACUUUCGCUUGCUGCCAGGGAGAGGAGUGGGUGUGCUUCCAAGCCGUGCGCCUUCAUCAAAUAUACAAGAUCUGUGUGGGACAGCUUUUAAGGUCAAGCAGAAAGGAAGAUUUUCUUUUCUAAACAUCUGUCAACAACCACAUGGAAGAAAAGACAGUACUAGCAUAAUUUACUGUGCUUUCACUCAGUGAAAAAUGUUCUUUGGGUGCUAUGUCAUGACUUGUACUUCAAGCAAAGCUUUUCCCAGUGUACAGCAUUCACUGUGAUAAGAAUGAGCAGUUGCCAUUCCGCAGAUGGUAGAAGAACCAAUUCCAGUUUUUGGUGAACCUAGAGGUUACUGAUGACUUUGCUGGGUUCAAAACUCUAACCAGAUCUCCUGGUCAGCACAAUUAGGAAUCCAGGGAAUCAACUGAAAACCAAAAGUAUUGUGAAGCUGAGAGAUACUGUAUGAUAAAGUAGGAUUCUGUGGAGACACAAAGCUUAAAAGAGGAGACCACUUUUCAGGCUGAAUAAGUUUCACAAGUACUUCAUGAAUGUCUCUGGAAACCAAAAGGACUCAAUUAUGAUAUUUAACAGAAUUUUGUCCUCCUAGAUAUUGUCAGCUUUAUCUCUUUCUUCCAAAAGCAAGGUUGGUGUUUACAGCCUGUAAAAUAAGGUCUGUUUGUCUACUACAAAGUAGUAGUAGUAGGAGUAGGAGUAACUACAAACCUAAUCAGGGAAGGAAGUGUCAAAAUAUAUUUUAUCAAGUGUGAUUUCUUACUGUCAGUGUUUCUUGAUUAAUAGUAAAUAAGAUCUUAAAUGAAUGCAUGCAAUUUUUCUAAUGGAUAUUGUGGUUGGAUGGAAUUUUUACCUAGGAAGACAGAGAAUUUCCUGCAUGGACUGUAGUUCAGUGUGUGGAAGAAUCAACUCUGCAUCUCUGAUUUACAUCUGUUGUGGGACUUGGUUACUCAGUACCUCCUGUAAAGAUUGUUUGAAUGAAUAAUGAAGCAUUCAGAAAACCACAUUGCAAUAGACUUCAUUUUUCUUUUUUUAGAUGUUUAACCAAACUCUCCAAACUACCAGUUUCUUAUUUUAUGGUUUUUAGUUUGUUUUUAUUUCCCCACAAUGUUUAUACUGUGAAUGAAAGACCACCUAACAGAAUAUUCAGUGAAGUUCAGAUUUCUCUCUGGAGAUCACGUACUCUUCAUAAGGGGGAUAGGUAAGAUGAAUCUGUAUUUGCAUGUAUAAAAGUUGAAUAUGUCACAUAAGUGUACAAUCUAGCAUUAGAAGAUUGCCUACUCUGUCAUUUUUAAACAUAUUUAAGUCCCAGUUCCUUUCUGAUGUACAGCAGAAAACAAGUAGUUGAAACCAGUAUUUGCAAUAAAACAAAUUACUUUUUAUUUUUUAUUUCCCCACUGUUCAAAUUGAGUUUUGUGCUGUUAUUUAUUUUCCUAGCCAUCUACCCAAGUUUGAAAGCACCGAAAAGCAUAAUUUCUGAUACUUUUUUGUAUGGUAUGCAAGAAGAGUUUUUAAAAGACAACUUAUUUUAUAUUCAUGUCAGCAAAAUAGUAGCCAGAUUUCAGGAGUUUAGCAGUUGAUGUGCUGAGCUUCAGGAAAAAAUCUGUAUCUAAUGCACCUCUGGACAAAAUCUUAUGAUGAAAGACACUCACUCACUUCAAAAAAUUGGCUCAUAAUAUAUUACUGUAAGGACUGGUGUAGUCCAGUCUCUGGUUAUGAAAUAGUACUCUCCAAUUAUUAUAUACAAAUGUAAAAUAGAUAUGAGUUAGUUAGCUCAUUGUUAGAUUUUAUAUGUUAUUUUUGCCAUUAACUUCACUACAUUGAAUAUUAGACCUGUCAUUUUAUUAUUAUUAUUAUUAUUAGUUUUUGAAUUGAAAGAAUCUGUCUUUCAUGUUUGGUGACACAGAAAUACUCAGGCAACAGGAUACCACUUACAUAUCAUUAGCAAAGGUGGUGAGUAAACUUUCUACACUUUUGCAGACAGUAGACACACAUACUCACAACUUGUUCAGAAUUCAUCUUCCUUGGAGGGGGUUCCUGAAAAAAAAAACACUGAUGCAAACGAUAUGUUAAAAAAGAUCAAUGACAAAAUGUCACUGAGAAUCAAACUCUUGUAAAGAUCCUUAGAGUAGCAGAAUAUGAAGGGAAAGUGAUGCAGUAGCACUGCUUUUAUCUCUUUGAUCCUAUGUUUAAGACUAGCACGGGCCUGCAGCAGUGCUUAAAUUGUAAUACUGUUACAAGAGCAGCUAUUGACUUUGGCAUUAUUGAGAAUCUAAUAGCGUUUAUUGGAAUCAGCUCUUACUGAUUUUUAACGCUGACAAAAUUUCUGUUAGGGUACAUCUAGGGAUGGUUUCACAGGAACUUCUCCUAAUUCUCAGGAAAAACAGUAACAACAACAACGACAAAAACCCUAGAAUUGUGCAAAGAGUAUAUGUAGGAGUUUAUAACUGACCAGACAGAGAUAGUCACAUUUUUUCAUUUAUUUCCACAUAAUGGCCGGAAAAAGAGCAGAUGAAAAAUGAUAAUCCAUAAAGGUAUUUUUCUUACUUUCCUAGGGUUCACAAAUCUGUAUUUUUUAUUUAAAACUUUUCUAGUUUAUUUAUUUGUGUGUGAAACACAGUAAAAGGACAAGAGUUUGAUUCCUAAAUAUGUAGAUAGGCUAUUCUAAGGAGCUACUUUGUUCUUCAUUCUGUGAUUAUGUCUAUGAUUUUGUUGUUAGAUCGUCUUCAAGUCAGGGGUAAUACUCAAGUGCUUACAUGAAUCCUUAUGCUAAGU
Long non-coding RNA from Gallus gallus (chicken), 2779 nucleotides. The record is from Ensembl. Lineage: Eukaryota; Metazoa; Chordata; Aves; Galliformes; Phasianidae.